CUGUCAAAAGAAUCCUAGAGAAUAAUUUAGCAUGGAAAAUGGAAAGAGGGAUGAUUCUGAAACUCAGGAAAAGAUAGAGACACGCAUAAGGCCAAGAGGCUGAGGAAGGGCAGCCGCCCUAAAGGAGAAUGAGGAAAAACUGGACUAGGAGUGAAGAGCAACUGUUCUGGAGCUUGAGGAAGAUCUUGGAGUGGGGCAUGUUAACCCAUGGUUAUACCAUGAGAUAGAGUGGUGGAUUUCCAGCAUUGCAGACACCAAAGGCAGGACAGGUGCUACAGUGCUAUUGGGGUUCAUUAGGUGCAAGAUGUUGUCACAUACUACUGCCUUAAUCAAGGGAGCUCUGACUCAGUAGAUGAAAAGGAAAGCACAAGCAGGUAAGUCUGAUGAAAAUAGAAAAGGAUUUAAUAUGGGCUGAAAAGGUGAGGAAGAAUGUAAAAGAGGGUUAAAAUGAAGAAAAAGAGAAAAAAACAACCUAGAAUUUAGGACUGCCUAUUUAUUUCUUUGCUUAUUUGUUAUGCUGUCUUUUGAGAUGGUUCGUCUCCUGGAGAAAGAGCCAGAUGAUAGGCCAAGUACAAUUUCAGCUACUUCAAUGCAGUCUGGGCAGGUGCUUGUUCAGGGAUAGUGCACGGAAGGGCUUUCCUUUCUCAACUUAUCUCCCUACGCUUGACAAGCAUGCCUGAUAAUAGCCAUGGCAUUAGUGGCAUCAUCAGGAGCCGCAGUGGCAGCAAGAAUUCCUUCAAAGGUGACGUUUGUAGUUUCAGUUUGUGCCAGUGUCAUGCUGGUGUCAGUAAUAGGAAUCUCACCAGCAGGAUUUGUGCAAUGAAACUCUGAAAAGCCUUGUCCCUGACUGCUGGCAGAUGAGGCUGCUUGCCCCACACCAGAAGACAUGGUAGACCAGCACUCCUCUUCAAAUAAUUGCUAGAAAUCAUGAGCUCUCAGGAAAUGAGUCUCUUGCAGUCUCUCUCGAGUUCCUGCUAGCAGGACCACUGUACUGGAGAGUUAAUGUAGCAGACAUUGAUGGAUGGUCUAGCCAGGCACAGAUGUCUAGAGAUUAUAUGUCAAGCUUUAAGCUGAAUCACUUCCCUGGAAGAUUUUCCCCUGCUGAGCUGAUAACUUGGCCUGGGUUAUGUAGAGCACUAAGGCUGCUCUGCACCUGUGCUCCUGUCUAGUACCCAGGGCUCCAUCUAUGACAUAUGGAGCUAAAGGGAGAAGUACUUGGUUGGGACAGCCAUGGGCACCUGUAGACCUCUGGACUGUUCAGGAAAUGCAAUUCAAGGAAUUGCCUAGCUUGAGAACAGAACACAGUUAACUGCGUACAGGUAUGCUGAAUUCCCAUAUGUCAGAAUAGCCAGCUUUGAUGAUUGAGAUGCUGACAAUUGAAGGGAUUCGUGACAGAUUUGAGGAUACCUGACCUCUCCACACUUCAUCCUAAGAAAGAUGUGUGACAAGCCCAAUAUUCUGAAGUGCACAAGGCACUCCUCAGUUUCCUAUGUACCUCCAUUUGAACCUGGAAGAGGCUCGCCAUCCAGCACAGGACUACUUUGUGGCAACUACUAUUAUUGGCACAGUGCUGCCUGCAUCAAAACAUAACCUGGUCUAGGAUUUAGCCUAUAUCAUCAAUUGGGCAAAAUCCAAUUCGGGGCCUGAAGAAGGGGAACAACAAGGAAACAGAAGUUGGGGAAGCAGAGAGAUGUUGUUGUUUUCUGGUGUGAGGCAAGAUUUCACUGUACUGUCCACGAAAAUGUCUGUAUUACUACAGAAAUCCAUCAAUAUUGGCCCUGAUCUUUUUCCAGUAAGUCACUUGAAUGAUGGUGUACUUCUCCUUAACAUUAUACACAGUCUCAUUCUAGUAAAAGGUAUGGGACAUUUUUGAUAUGCUUAGGAAUGUUGGAGAUGAAGGCUUUGGCAGAGUUGCUGACUCUCCAUCUCUUGUCCUAGCAUUUCUCUUUAGACUGUGAAGAGUUGAGAAAGCAUAGGUAGGUAGCUCUGCUCUUACUUCUGAUACAGUCCUAGCUACCCCAUGUAGGUCGCCUUCUGUCCUGUGCCCUUGGCAUUUCUUGGCCCCUUCUACACGUAAGCUCUCUAUUCAUGGCUAUAUCUAUAUUAGCAAGUACUGUGACCCAAUAGGAACAGAUCUGUAAAGCAAAUUAGCUACUGCUGGGUACCAGAUGUCAACUACAUGUAUUUCCAUGCAAGCAGUUGGGUGUAUGUGCAUGUACCUUGUGAAGCUGAAUCACUAUGGAGAACUGAGUUGUCCAGAUUGUCCCCCACUGCAUACAUGGGACAGAUGAAUUGUGACUCUGUAGAAGCACUUCUUUAGGAGAGACCUUUAGGCUAAAUAUAGAUGUAUACCCUUAGUCAGAUGAAUUGCACCCUCAGAGUUAGAACCACAGUACAAACUUACAACACAGUCUGAGCUUCAGCCUUGUGAACUCUGUAUUACCUCCUAGGAGAAGUUCAAUAAAAUUCUUAUGUUCAUUUCCUCUCCAAAAUAUCAAUAUGGAAAAAAAAAGAAUUCAUCUUUGGUUUCAAAAUUGUCUUAAAGCUUUCCCCACACACAGCCACAGAAAGGAGUAUUUUUACUGAAAGAUGGAAUCAAGCUCCUACAUCUCCAAAUAGGCAUUUUCUGCUUCAGGGGAUUCUUAAGAGCAAAAGAUUUUUGCAUAUUCCUUUGUAGUCAUGCAGCCUGAGAGACAUUCAUGCAGUUCACACCCAAUGAACAAGUGACCAAAAAUUGGAUUUUUGGCUCAGUGAAACCAUACUGUUAUUUUUUUAAUGCAUAACACAUCUUUGUGGGCCCGCAAAGAUGAUAAGACCCACUCUUUAGUUUGUUUUCAGAAUUAGUUUGAAUUUUAAAGGGUAGAUAAUUGCCCUGACAGGAAACAAGAUCCAUGUAUUAUCAACACAGUAUUCCUUUCCACCCCAAUAAGAUUUUAAAAAGUAGACAUCUCGGACCAAUUAGAAAAGUUCGUUUUGCAGUACAGUGGAAGUGUCCAAAAAUUUUUACCAUUAGUACAGUGUUAUUAUAAGUGAAAAAGAAAUCCCUGGAAUUCUCAGGUUUUAUUCUGAAUAAACAGAUACACUAACAGUAAUAUGACCUUUGUUCACCCAGUUUUUGUGUUCUCCUCCUGAAGUUUUACAGCUAUCAGUUUCAGUAUUUUUUAAAUGCGAUACAAUAUUUUGAAAGCUUCCUCCUCAAAUGUUUCUUUCCUCUAAGGCAGUAAUUUUGCAGAGCAUGUAUAAACAAAAUGCCACCCUGACUUUUCUUAGCUGACUCUGACUUACUGAAUUUGGCUUAUUGAUUAUUUGAUUACUUGGUGUAAACACAUCUUUAAUUUUGUGCACGCUACUAUUUUCUUAAAACAAUACAACUAUCAUAAUCAAAUACAGGUGCAGCUGAAAGACAAAAAGGCAUUUUUCCAGUCUUACACUUCAGAUUUUAGCAUCUUACUCAAACUCUGCAAAUCACUAGGAGAACAGUGUAUGAGAUUGGUCUGUAUCAGUAAACGAGACAAAACAGAAUAAAACAUGAGGACAGAACUCCCUAUUUAGAUAUUACUUUUCCCAUUGCACUAUAGCUAUAUUUCCUUUUCACUUACAGAUUUUCUUUUUCAUUUGCUUGAAGUACACUGAGAAAUUAAACCUGUAGAAGAAAAGAUUUUAUGGUUAUGAUUUUAUAAUGUAAUAAGUAGGGAGAACAUUUGUUUUUAUUCUACCAUAUCACAAGAUGGCAAACUAUCAUUCCAAAAGCAGAUGUAUUUGAAGUUCCGUUUUACCUUGGAAUGACCCCACAUCUGAGACUUAAAAUAACACAGAGUAUUAUUUCUCCUAGAGAAUAAAAAUAGAGUGACUUUGCUUUGUCCUACACAUCAGCCUUGUGGACUAUACAUCAUAGAUAUUGUAUAUACAUUCAUCCAUCAUUUCUGUUUCCUACAUGCAGGAGCAAAUCAUCCUUUUUUUAGUCCAUCUAUUGCACUUCAGCUGCCAAAAAAGCAAAAGUAUAUAUGAAGGCUGUUUUAAAUUACUUAAUAAAACUUUGCUUACAUAAAUCUUCUUCUAGGUAAAGUGCAAUGUGUAAAUGAAGAUACUUUAGUGCACAGGCUGUUGGAAAAUCCACGUGCUUCCCAGAACCUAACGUGCUAAGACCUAAUUUUCUCUGGAAGGAAAAGGGUAAAAGGGCCUGGAAGAACUGACCAUUGAAAAGCUCCAAGCUGUUUGCAGAAAUACAUGUGACCUCACAAGUCCAAACACCAUGAGUAACAUCUGGAUAGAUAUGCUGCAGGUCACCCAUGAGGAGGUCAGGUGCAGGGGAUAUGAGUGGAUUUGAGGGCAGUCUGCUCACAGCCAUCCUUCAACCUCUCAGGUGUGAAAUGUCUUUGCUUCAUUUUUGUAUCUCCAUUUUUCCACAUGCCUCCCCCCCACUUUUUUUUCCAAGGCCAGUCUUGACUCAUUCAUCUGCGGAGAUCCGCAGCAGUCAGCUUCCCGUCUCAUCCUGUCUCCCUUUGAAAGGGAUAGCUAAUAAAUCUGAUGCAAAUAGAACAUAGGCUCAUAAAUAGUGUGAAAAUGACCCGGGGCUAACAUGGUUGUCAAGCAACCAAUUCCCUGCUAAUCACUUCAGCUAGUGAUGGAAAUAGUUUAGUGUUGGCCUGGCGAGUCCUUUCUGAGCACAGGAAUUGCUAUCCUGCUUUACUAUCCCGUGUGACCCGUGUCAUGUGUCUGUCAGCAAACUACACGAGAUAUUUCAAAAGUGUAAAAAUUCUGACAAUUAGGAAAUGACUCACGCCCUGGCAGCUUUUUUGUAACUCAAUUUUUAGUGGUUGACAUAACGUGUCUUGUACAUAUUUAUUCUAAUGCAAAGAUGAAUGUUCUCUCAAGACUAACAUCUUUUUGACAGUGCUAUUAUUUAUCAGUGAGUUUCACAGAAUUAACUGUGUUCUGUACGUUUUAAACCCUCUUAUUUCAAAUCUAGUUCCUUAAGAUCUGUUUGUAUCUCUCUUUAUCCUCUCUUACGAAAAACGCCAAUUGAAAGUGCACAGUAUACCAUCUCAGUUAUUACUUUAUGUUCUUCCUUUCCAUUUUUUUCUUAUCUAAGCUAACUAGUUUUUUUCUAUUUCCUGACACAGGGAAACCACCUGAAGUCCCUCUUGUAUUAUCACUUUGAGAAAGGACUAUCAGAAUUGAGUACAGUAUCCCAGCUGAGGAAGUCUGUAUCUAUGCUAUGUAUAUGUACAUGUAGGGGAUACUUUCACUGAGUCAUUCAUAAAUACCUCUGCACCUUUUCCUCAUCGAUUAAAUUAAUUUAAAACCUAAUACUGUGCAACAGUAGUAGAACUAUUUCAUAUUUUGAGUCUAUAAGGAUAUUUCUUCCAAACAAUAAAAGCAUUUGAAAAUAUAUCUCAAACUGUUUUAGAAUUUUAUCAUUAGCAUUUUAACAUAUUUUCCUGUUAUUUCAGAUUGCUCCUUGCAGCAUGUGUUCGUUUGCCAUCAUCUCUUAUCUACUCAUGUAACCCCACUGAGUCUCUGAAAUGCUUCACAUUUUUCUUUGAUUUUGCCUAUGUGAUAGAACUCUGUAUUAUCUGCAAAAAUCUAUCACCUCACCAUUGGUGUACUUUUACCAAACGACUGGUUAAUUCAUCAGGCAACACCACUUCCAGUGUGCCCCAAUAGGACUUCUGCAGUGCUGAAAACUAUGCAUGAACCAUCAUUGCUUUGUUUCCAGCCUCUUAGCAAGUUUCCUAUCCAGGACAGUCAUUUACCUCUGACCCUAUGAGCCUCUGGUUUCCAAAACAGGAUCUUACGGGAGACUUUUAUCAAAGUUCUUUUGAGUCAGUAAUUAUAGUUGGUAGUUCUCCUUUCUCUAGUGUCUUGUGAUGGCUCAAAAACAAUUAUCCGAGACUAAAAAGGUAAGGUUUUUCACAACAGAAAUAGGGAUGGUUAGUCUUUGUAUGUCAGUGCUAUUUUUGUUUCAAGCUAUGUAUAUGGCAGUUCAAAGCAAGCUCAUUAAAGUAAAAUUUCAGAUUUCAUCUCUAAUGCUUUUUAAAAUAAAUAAUAUUUAUUAUUAUUUUAUAUCAUUUUGUUAUUUUAUAUAAUAAAAUUAUGUAAGUAUAAAUAAUGUUGUUUUAUAGUUUUUAUAUUAUUUUAUUAAAUAUUUAUUAUUAUUAACUUGAAAAUCUGCACCUAUUUUCUUGAGAUUAUUCUGUCUUUCUAGCAAUUCUUUCAUAUUUUUCCUGAAUUUUUGGAUCAUUGCCAUGCAAGAUUAAAGCACAACAAAAAUUUUCCACCAGAUCUCUCUCACUCUUUCAGAAAUUGUUAUAAAAGAGUUUCCCUUUCUUUUCUACUACAUAUUCCACUUUCAGUAGCAGCUGCAGAGAGCCAGAGCUCUAGUUCUGUGAUUCGACUGCGGGUCCUUCUUUUCAAGAAAUGGAGCCAUGAUGGCACGACUCCACACAAAAUACCUCAUGCUCAGAUACAGCCGGAGAGGGAAAUUGAUGUCACCCCAGAAGGAGAGAAAAGAAUUACAAGAUUGUCACACUGCAAAAUGGAAAGGACCUCAGCUCUCCAGAAAGUGUGGUUCUCCCGAAAUGCCUCCAAGUUCCCUAAAUCCCUUCAGUCCCUUCAGUUUUCUAAAAAUAAUCCAGCUACAUCUUUGAUUGCCAACUGACUCCUUGGAAAGCAGCUCCAGCAAAAACCUACAUCCAACUAUCUAGAAGCACCCAAAGAAUCACAGUAGUGAGUAUGGUAUUGCUAUAGUGCUACAAUGGGCUAUAUUAAAGAAAUUUAAAUAAUUGCUGAUACAUAGCAAGUAAUGCUAAUGUACAGUCAAAGCAAAGUAGGUCUAAAUCAUCCACAGGUCAUACCAUGCAGCACCAGUGAAAUAAAAUCUGUUUACUAUUACAACCAGGUAUUCCCUUAUCUACAAUGUUUAACAGAGUUUUCAAAAAGCCAGGCCGAUAGUUAAACCCAGCUGUGCACCAACUACCUUGAAUGCAAGGAAAUAAAGUUGUUAAAACUGUAUGUUCUACAUUAGAAGCAAAAUGAGGGGAAAAAAAGAUUCUGAUCCUAUAAUCACUUAUAUAUGUAUAUCCAUAGCCUUGCUAAUAAUAGUAAUCCUAUGGCAAAUUGGUAUUUGCAAACAGAUGCAUUAAAGCGAACUUCAUUACAGAAAGAAUAAAGGUAAUUUCACAUACCA
Molecule: long non-coding RNA, 7189 nt
Organism: Dromaius novaehollandiae (emu)
Lineage: Eukaryota; Metazoa; Chordata; Aves; Casuariiformes; Dromaiidae
Exons: 5
Source: RefSeq, a predicted model, not a curated record